Molecule: ribosomal RNA, 2367 nt
Filed under: human gut metagenome
Description: bacterial LSU rRNA
Rfam family: Bacterial large subunit ribosomal RNA
Source: RNAcentral
GAAAGUAAGCAAGGGCAGACGGUGGAUGCCUUGGCUCUCGGAGGCGACGAAGGACGUGAUAAGCUGCGAAAAGCCCGGGGGAGGCGCAAAUAGCCCUUGAUCCCGGGAUAUCCGAAUGGGGCAACCCGGCAGGCUGAAGGCCUGCCAUCCCGUAAGGGAGGCGAACGUGGGGAACUGAAACAUCUAAGUACCCAUAGGAGGAGAAAAUAAACAAUGAUUCCGUAAGUAGUGGCGAGCGAACACGGAAGAGCCCAAACCCAUGUCGUCUAGGCGACACGGGGGUUGUAGGACCACGACGUGGCAAGAUAGAGUCAAGUGGAACGCCUUGGAAAAGGCGGUCAUAGAGGGUGAAAACCCCGUACACGACUGACGAUUGAAGCCUAGUGGCAUCCUGAGUAGCGCGGGGCACGAGAAAUCUUGCGUGAAUUAGCGGGGCCCAUCCCGUAAGGCUAAAUACUCCCGAGAGACCGAUAGCGAACCAGUACCGUGAGGGAAAGGUGAAAAGAACCCCGAGCAGGGGAGUGAAAUAGACCCUGAACCCGUCUGCCUACAAGCGGUCGGAGCGUCGUAAUGACGUGACGGCGUGCCUUUUGCAUAAUGAACCUACGAGUUACCUUCCCCGGCAAGGUUAAGUACCUAAGGUACGGAGCCGAAGCGAAAGCGAGUCUGAACAGGGCGCCAAGUCGGGGGGGGUAGACGCGAAACCGAGUGAUCUACCCUUGGCCAGGUUGAAGGUUGGGUAACACCAACUGGAGGACCGGAUGGGUAAGCGUUGAAAAGCUUUCCAAUGAGCUGAGGGUAGGGGUGAAAGGCUAAUCAAACUCGGAGAUAGCUCGUACUCCCCGAAAUGCAUUUAGGUGCAGCCUCUUUAUAGUAUAUCGUGAGGUAGAGCGACUGAUUGGAUGCGAGGGCUUCACCGCCUAUCAAGUCCAGAUAAACUCCGAAUGCGCGAUAUAUAUUUACAGGGAGUGAGGGCGCGGGUGCUAAGGUCCGUGUCCGAGAGGAGAAGAAUCCAGACCACCGGCUAAGGCCCCCAAAUGAUCGUUAAGUUGAACUAACGAGGUCGGAUCGCAGAGACAGCUAGGAUGUUGGCUUGGAAGCAGCCAUUCAUUUAAAGAGUGCGUAACAGCUCACUAGUCGAGCGAUCUGGCGUGGAUAAUAAUCGGGCAUAAACGAUCUGCCGAAGCCGUGGAUGUCGCAAGACAUGGUAGGGGAGCAUUCCAUGCGGCGUCGAAGAUGAGGGAUGACCCUUGUUGGAGCGCAUGGAAAAGCAAAUGUAGGUAUGAGUAACGAUAAGGGGGGCGAGAAACCCCCCCGCCGAAAGACCAAGGUUUCCUGAUCAACGCUAAUCGGAUCAGGGUGAGUCGGGACCUAAGGCAAAGCCGAACGGCGCCGCCGAUGGAAGAAUGGGUUAAUAUUCCCAUACUGCCUCAUGGAGUGACGUGGAGACGGAGAAGUGACAGUCCUGCCGGCUGACGGAAUAGCCGGUUGAAGGGUGUAGAUAUUGAUUCCCGUAGGCAAAUCCGCGGGGAGAGUCGAACCUGAGAGUAUACGGAGCGCUUGCGCAACGUAAUAUGGACGUAACCAUGCUCCCGAGAAAAUCCGCUAAACUUAUCCAUGCGGCACCCGUACCGUAAACGGACACACGUGGUCGGGUUGAGAAUACUGAGGCGCUCGAGUGAUUCACGGUUAAGGAACUAGGCAAAUUGACCCUGUAACUUCGGGAUAAAGGGUCCUCGUCGUAAGGCGAGGCGCAGAGAAUAGGUCCAGGCAACUGUUUAACAAAAACACAUGGCUGUGCUAAAUGGAAACAUGAUGUAUACAGCCUGACACCUGCCCGGUGCCGGAAGGUUAAGAGGAGAUGUCAUCCGCGAGGAGAAGCGUUGAAUUGAAGCCCCGGUAAACGGCGGCCGUAACUAUAACGGUCCUAAGGUAGCGAAAUUCCUUGUCGGGUAAGUUCCGACCUGCACGAAUGGUGUAAUGAUCUGGACGCUGUCUCAACCGUGAGCUCAGUGAAAUUGUAGUAUCGGUGAAGAUGCCGAUUACCCGCGAUGGGACGAAAAGACCCCGUGAACCUUUACUAUAGCUUUACAUUGAGUUUGGGCAGACGAUGUGUAGGAUAGGCCGGAGGCAUUGAAGCAGGUACGCCAGUAUUUGUGGAGCCGACGUUGAAAUACGGCCCUUCGGUUGUUUGAGUUCUAACUCCUAGUUAGGAGGACACUGUAUGGUGGGUAGUUUGACUGGGGUGGUCGCCUCCAAAAGCGUAACGGAGGCUUCUAAAGGUGCCCUCAGACCGAUUGGUAACCGGUCGCAGAGUGUAAUGGCAUAAGGGCGCUUGACUGGGAGACAUACAAGUCGAUCAGGUAG